Molecule: ribosomal RNA, 1369 nt
Filed under: uncultured beta proteobacterium
Lineage: Bacteria; Pseudomonadati; Pseudomonadota; Betaproteobacteria
Description: bacterial SSU rRNA
Rfam family: Bacterial small subunit ribosomal RNA
Source: RNAcentral
GAUUGAACGCUGGCGGCAUGCCUUACACAUGCAAGUCGAACGGCAGCACGGGUGCUUGCACCUGGUGGCGAGUGGCGAACGGGUGAGUAAUACAUCGGAACAUGUCCUGUAGUGGGGGAUAGCCCGGCGAAAGCCGGAUUAAUACCGCAUACGAUCUACGGAUGAAAGCGGGGGACCUUCGAGCCUCGCGCUAUAGGGUUGGCCGAUGGCUGAUUAGCUAGUUGGUGGGGUAAAGGCCUACCAAGGCGACGAUCAGUAGCUGGUCUGAGAGGACGACCAGCCACACUGGGACUGAGACACGGCCCAGACUCCUAGGGGAGGCAGCAGUGGGGAAUUUUGGACAAUGGGCGAAAGCCUGAUCCAGCAAUGCCGCGUGUGUGAAGAAGGCCUUCGGGUUGUAAAGCACUUUUGUCCGGAAAGAAAUCCUUGGCUCUAAUACAGUCGGGGGAUGACGGUACCGGAAGAAUAAGCACCGGCUAACUACGUGCCAGCAGCCGCGGUAAUACGUAGGGUGCGAGCGUUAAUCGGAAUUACUGGGCGUAAAGCGUGCGCAGGCGGUUUGCUAAGACCGAUGUGAAAUCCCCGGGCUCAACCUGGGAACUGCAUUGGUGACUGGCAGGCUAGAGUAUGGCAGAGGGGGGGUAGAAUUCCACGUGUAGCAGUGAAAUGCGUAGAGAUGUGGAGGAAUACCGAUGGCGAAGGCAGCCCCCUGGGCCAAUACUGACGCUCAUGCACGAAAGCGUGGGGAGCAAACAGGAUUAGAUACCCUGGUAGUCCACGCCCUAAACGAUGUCAACUAGUUGUUGGGGAUUCAUUUCCUUAGUAACGUAGCUAACGCGUGAAGUUGACCGCCUGGGGAGUACGGUCGCAAGAUUAAAACUCAAAGGAAUUGACGGGGACCCGCACAAGCGGUGGAUGAUGUGGAUUAAUUCGAUGCAACGCGAAAAACCUUACCUACCCUUGACAUGGUCGGAAUCCUGCUGAGAGGUGGGAGUGCUCGAAAGAGAACCGGCGCACAGGUGCUGCAUGGCUGUCGUCAGCUCGUGUCGUGAGAUGUUGGGUUAAGUCCCGCAACGAGCGCAACCCUUGUCCUUAGUUGCUACGCAAGAGCACUCUAAGGAGACUGCCGGUGACAAACCGGAGGAAGGUGGGGAUGACGUCAAGUCCUCAUGGCCCUUAUGGGUAGGGCUUCACACGUCAUACAAUGGUCGGAACAGAGGGUUGCCAACCCGCGAGGGGGAGCUAAUCCCAGAAAACCGAUCGUAGUCCGGAUUGCACUCUGCAACUCGAGUGCAUGAAGCUGGAAUCGCUAGUAAUCGCGGAUCAGCAUGCCGCGGUGAAUACGUUCCCGGGUCUUGCACUCACCGCC